RNAcentral lists this ribosomal RNA (253 nucleotides) under uncultured bacterium. Its description in RNAcentral is "partial 16S ribosomal RNA". It matches the Rfam family "Bacterial small subunit ribosomal RNA", at positions 524 to 776 of the family's 1533-position model. The record is from RNAcentral.
UACGUAGGGGCCGAGCGUUGUCCGGAGUUAUUGGGCGUAAAGCGCGCGCAGGCGGCCUCGCGCGCCCGACGUGAAAGCCCCCGGCUUAACCGGGGAGGGUCGUUGGGGACGGCGGGGCUUGAGGGCGGGAGAGGGUGGUGGAAUUCCCGGUGUAGUGGUGAAAUGCGUAGAGAUCGGGAGGAACACCGGUGGCGAAGGCGGCCACCUGGACGGAUACUGACGCUGAGACGCGAAAGCGUGGGGAGCAAACAGG